AUCUUCUAUGAAAAGAUAGAGUCGUAAGCUCCCUGUACGUUAUUCCAGUACAUUUGCUUUUUUUGUUAGUUGCACUUUUGGAUCUAACAGUAUAAGGUUUCACUUUUUUCUAGUCAUCAGUUUUU
Molecule: microRNA precursor, 125 nt
Filed under: Schistosoma mansoni
Lineage: Eukaryota; Metazoa; Platyhelminthes; Trematoda; Strigeidida; Schistosomatidae
Description: microRNA sma-mir-8421 precursor
Source: miRBase by way of RNAcentral